UACGUAGGGGGCGAGCGUUGUCCGAAGUUACUGGGCGUAAAGCGCGCGUAGGCGGACUCUUAAGUGAGGGGUGAAAGGUUCAGGGCUCAACCCGAACACUGCCUUUGAUACUGAAGAUCUUGAGUUCGGGAGAGGUGAGUGGAACUGUGAGUGUAGAGGUGAAAUUCGUAGAUAUUCGCAAGGACACCAGUGGCGAAGGCGGCUCACUGGCCCGAUACUGACGCUGAUGCACGAAAGCGUGGGGAGCAAACAGG
Molecule: ribosomal RNA, 254 nt
Filed under: uncultured bacterium
Lineage: Bacteria
Description: partial 16S ribosomal RNA
Rfam family: Bacterial small subunit ribosomal RNA
Source: RNAcentral